RNAcentral lists this long non-coding RNA (1354 nucleotides) under Chrysemys picta bellii (western painted turtle). RNAcentral's name for it is "lncRNA (ENSCPBG00000026623.1)". Lineage: Eukaryota; Metazoa; Chordata; Testudines; Emydidae. The record is from RNAcentral.
NNNNNNNNNNNNNNNNNNNNNNNNNNNNNNNNNNNNNNNNNNNNNNNNNNNNNNNNNNNNNUUGGGCAAACGUAUUAAUGGAUUUAAAGGCAGAAGAAGCCUGGUAUUACUUUAAGUUAAAGAUGCAUGAGCUGUCGGAGGCCUGUAUUCCCAAAAAGGGAAAAAGAUUACCAAGCAAGAGAUUUAGACCGAGCUGGAUGAGCGACCGACUCAAAGGGGCGAUUAGGAAAAAACAGAAAGCGUACAAAGAGUGGAAGAGGGGAAGGAUCAGUAAGGAAAUGUACCUAAGUGAAGUCAGAGAAUGUAGAGAUAGAGUGAGAAAGGCCAAAGGCCGUGUAGAAUUGGACCUAGCGAGGGGAAUUAAAAGCAAUAGUAAGAGGUUUUACAGCCACAUAAAUAAGAAGAAAGCAAAGAAAGAAGAAGUGGGACCACUGAAGACUAUUGUCAGAGAGGAGAUUAAAGACAAUCUAGGCAUGGCGCAAUAUCUCAAUGAAUAUUUUGCAUCAGUGUUUAAUGAGGCCAAUGAAGGUAUUAGGGAUACUAGCACCACUACAGAGGGGCAUUCAGGAUGGGGGAUUACCGUAUCCGAGGUAGAAACAAAACUUGAACACCUUAAUGGGGCUAAAUCGGGAGGACCGGACGAUCUUCAUCCGAGAACAUUGAAGGAAUUGGCGCGGGAAAUAGCAGGCCCAUUAGCGAUAAUAUUUAAUGAAUCUGUAAACUCGGGGGUGGUCCCGUUAGACUGGAGAAUAGCUAAUGUGGUUCCUAUUUUCAAGAAAGGGAAAAAAAGUGAUCCGGAUAACUACAGGCCUGUUAGUUUAACAUCUGUGGUGUGCAAGGUGUUAGAGAAAAUUCUGAAAGAGAAACUAGUUGAGGACCUGGAGGUUAAUGGCAAUUGCGAUAAAUUAGAACAUGGUUUUACGAAGGGCAGAUCGUGCCAAACGAAUCUGAUCUCCUUCUUUGAGAAAGUAACGGAUUUAUUAGAUAAGGGAAAUGCGGUGGACCUAAUAUACCUGGAUACUGUACCCCAUGAGGAAUUAUUGGUUAAACUGAAAAACAUGGGGAUCGAUAUGAAAAUCCAGAGGUGGAUAAGGAAUUGGUUAAUGGGGAGAAUGCUGCGGGUCGUAUUGAAGGGUGAACUGUCAGGUUGGAGGGAGGUUACUAGUGGAGUGCCUCAAGGUUCGGUUUUGGGACCCAUUUUAUUUAAUCUAUUUAUAACUGACCUCGGAACCGAUUGCAGGAGUGGGCUGAUAAAGUUUGCGGAUGAUACGAAGGUGGGAGGCGUUGUAAAUUCGGAGGAGGAUAGGGAUAUCCUGCAAGGAGACUUGAAUGAGCUUGUGAAUUGGAGUAUCAG